This 743-nucleotide ribosomal RNA is filed under the name Microbacterium arborescens. RNAcentral describes it as "bacterial SSU rRNA". It matches the Rfam family "Bacterial small subunit ribosomal RNA", at positions 78 to 834 of the family's 1533-position model. The record is from RNAcentral. Lineage: Bacteria; Bacillati; Actinomycetota; Actinomycetes; Micrococcales; Microbacteriaceae.
GCUUGCUCUGUGGGAUCAGUGGCGAACGGGUGAGUAACACGUGAGCAACCUGCCCCUGACUCUGGGAUAAGCGCUGGAAACGGCGUCUAAUACUGGAUAUGUGACGUGACCGCAUGGUCUGCGUCUGGAAAGAAUUUCGGUUGGGGAUGGGCUCGCGGCCUAUCAGCUUGUUGGUGAGGUAAUGGCUCACCAAGGCGUCGACGGGUAGCCGGCCUGAGAGGGUGACCGGCCACACUGGGACUGAGACACGGCCCAGACUCCUACGGGAGGCAGCAGUGGGGAAUAUUGCACAAUGGGCGCAAGCCUGAUGCAGCAACGCCGCGUGAGGGACGACGGCCUUCGGGUUGUAAACCUCUUUUAGCAGGGAAGAAGCGAAAGUGACGGUACCUGCAGAAAAAGCGCCGGCUAACUACGUGCCAGCAGCCGCGGUAAUACGUAGGGCGCAAGCGUUAUCCGGAAUUAUUGGGCGUAAAGAGCUCGUAGGCGGUUUGUCGCGUCUGCUGUGAAAUCCGGAGGCUCAACCUCCGGCCUGCAGUGGGUACGGGCAGACUAGAGUGCGGUAGGGGAGAUUGGAAUUCCUGGUGUAGCGGUGGAAUGCGCAGAUAUCAGGAGGAACACCGAUGGCGAAGGCAGAUCUCUGGGCCGUAACUGACGCUGAGGAGCGAAAGGGUGGGGAGCAAACAGGCUUAGAUACCCUGGUAGUCCACCCCGUAAACGUUGGGAACUAGUUGUGGGGUCCAUUC